Poecilia latipinna (sailfin molly) is the source of this 243-nucleotide long non-coding RNA. RefSeq lists it as uncharacterized. Lineage: Eukaryota; Metazoa; Chordata; Actinopteri; Cyprinodontiformes; Poeciliidae. The transcript has 2 exons. The record is from RefSeq and is a predicted model, not a curated record.
GGGGUAGAGUGGGGCACAGGCAAUCAAAGGGAUGACUCAGUUUCUGAAAAUGCAUGCAACAAGAUGGAUUGAAUGAGUAAAGGUUAAGGCCUCGGACUGUGUUGAUCCACAGCGUUCCACUUCAAGACUCCAGCCUCCUGAGGGCCAAAACAUAGGACUUCAUUCCCUGUCUCCUUAGAACAGAAGAAGAAGAAGAAAAGCCCUGAAAAGAAAGCAUAAAGUGAUUUUUCAACAGAAAACCAA